This is a long non-coding RNA of Macaca fascicularis (crab-eating macaque), 2355 nucleotides long. The record is from Ensembl. Lineage: Eukaryota; Metazoa; Chordata; Mammalia; Primates; Cercopithecidae.
GAAUUUCUGCUUUGAUGUUGGUGUAGAGGAAAGCUUAUGAUAAUGCUUCUCAAAUUGUUAAAUAUCUGCACAAAUUUCCUAAGGGAUCUUCCUACAAGGCAGAUGCAGAUUCUUUAGGCCAAGGUCGCUGGUCCAUGACCACACUUUGGGUAGCAAGAGCCUAAGGGUCAGGGACACAUCAGAGCCAAAGACAGCCAAGCCAUACUGGGACUGAGGAUUGAUGCCCCAAAGUGAGAAACAGAAGGACAAAGAGAAUCAAUGGUGCACAAAAAUAGAGUCAGAGGCUGAAGUGGGAACAGAGAAGAUCAGGGUGACAAAAAGAGGGACUGAGAAGACAGAGUUAGAGACGCAGAGAGGGGCAAAGACAGAACCCAGAGAUGGAAGAUGGAUGACACAGAGAGACUUGCAAAGACACAGCCAGGGUCAAGGAGAGGAGACAAGGUAAAGAGUGAGGGAAGAGGGGCUGUUGGCUGUGGGCAGUCUGUGACUGGCAGUGAAGAUCACAGGUGUAGAAGGGACAAGACCUGCAGAUGCACAGACAUGAAAUCCCCCACUUUCCUCACCUCCCAGCCUUCCCACACCUGCAUCACUCUCUCCUUGCUCCUGCAGAGCAAUCCCUCCCAAUGGAACCUUCCACUACUGAUUUCCCCUUCUCUUGCCUGUGUACUCAACUGCUUUCUCUUAAGUGCAGCCCUCCCAGAAGGUUUUAAACACCAUCAAGUCUUUCCCAUUGAACGAAAAAAGGUCUCUCUUGACUCAUAUUUCUUUCUAGCUCCUGUCGUAUUUCUCUUCCUCUUUUUCACAGCUAAGGAAUUGUCUGCUUCCAUCACCCUCCCCAAACACUGCUGCUAAGCUUCUGUUGGCACACAUGUUGCUGAGUCCGACGGUCACUUUCCAGUCCUCUUUUGCUUGAUCUCUCCCUCCUUCUUGCUAGCUUCUGGGGCCUGAUAUUCCCCUGGAUUUCCUCUUGCCUGCUUCUCCUUUAACUCACCGUUGGUGAUCUGAUCUUUAUAUUUAGAGGGUCUUUAUAUUAGAGAUGGGUCCAGACUCCUCUCUUCACCCAGUGCUGUCUUUUCAGUUGACCUCUUCCAAAUCCACAGCCUCGACUGCCUUCCAUACACCAGUUUACAUUCCAGCUUGAACUCUGCCUGUACAACUAAACCUGUGUUUAUGUCUAAGCAAUGUCUGCUCACCAUCUUUACCAGGAUGUCUCAGAGGUACUACAAACUCAACGUGGUCGAAACCACAUUUAUAUUCUUCCUUCUUCUCCCAAACUGGUCUUCCUCGCAGGUUUCCCAUCUCAGAACACAGCACUGUCAUCUCGCAGGUUUCCCAUCUCAGAACACAGCACUGUCAUCUGUCUGGGUGUUUGAGUCAGAAAUAGAGAUUUCGUCCUUGAUAACUCCCUCCCCAUCUCUCCCUUCUUCUACAUCCAAUGCAUCACCAAACUCUGUCAACUUUAUGCCCCAAAUACCUUUUGAUUUUGCUCACUUCUCUCCAUUUCCACUGCCUCCACCCUAGUUCAAAUCUCCAACAUCUCUCACCUAGAUGACAGCAACAGCCUCCUAACCAACCUCUCCCUAAUCUGUCUUUCAAGCUACAGACACAGUGAUCUUUGCAAAAUGCGAAUCUACUUGUUUUGGCCUACUGCUUAAAACCCUUCAGCAGCCUCCCUUGGCUCUGAGAAUAAAGGACCAACUCCAGGCAAUCUUUCUAGAAUCAUCUGAACUCAUUUGCCCUCGAGACCUUCCAGCUAUACUGGCUUUCUUUCAGUCCCUUGGCCAAACUACUUUCUGCUACAGGACGAUUGCAUAUGCUGUGUCUGUAGAACUGUGCUGUCCAACAUGGUAGCCACUGGCCACAUGUGGUUAUCGAGCACUUGAAAUAUGGCUAGUGCAACUGAAGAACUGAAUUGCCAAUGUUAUUUAAUUUUAAUUGCCUAAAAUUAAAAUUUAAAAAGAUACAUCAUUCAGUUACAGAAAAACUGCUAAGUGUUCUCAAAACAACUUGGGUAUGUGUAUCUUCUUUUUCAACUUUAGUUUUUAUGCAGCGUAAUUACAGAUCAGGUAUUUCCAGUGAAAAUUUAGCAUCCAAAUUAAGAUAUGCUGUGAGUGUAAAAAUACACACGGAACAUUGAACACUUGGUUUUAAAAAUGUAAAAGAUCUCACUAAUAAUUUUUUUUUUACCUUGAUUGCAUGUUAAAAAGAUAAUACUUUGGGGCCAGGUGCAGUGGCUCAUGCCUAUAAUCCCAGCGCUUUGGGAAGCUGAGGCAAGAGGAUCGCUUUAGCCCAGGAGUUCAAGACCAGACUGGGCAGCAUAGUGAGACAUCAUCUCUAUGAGAAAAAAAAAAAAAA